GGGGACGUGGCGAAAUUGGUAGACGCACUGGAUUUAGGUUCCAGCGCCGCAAGGUGUGAGAGUUCGAGUCUCUCCGUCCCCACCA
Molecule: transfer RNA, 85 nt
Filed under: Acinetobacter baumannii
Lineage: Bacteria; Pseudomonadati; Pseudomonadota; Gammaproteobacteria; Moraxellales; Moraxellaceae
Also listed under: 203 other names
Description: tRNA-Leu
Rfam family: tRNA
About the family: Transfer RNA (tRNA) molecules are approximately 80 nucleotides in length.
Source: RNAcentral